Molecule: transfer RNA, 136 nt
Filed under: Candidatus Aenigmatarchaeota archaeon
Lineage: Archaea; Nanobdellati; Candidatus Aenigmatarchaeota
Description: tRNA-Gly
Source: RNAcentral
GGGGCCGUGGUCUAGCUUCCGAAACAGAUCCAACUGUUCUGGCUAGAAUGGUAUGAACCUUUCUCAAAAGGAGAAUCGGUAUAAUCCCUGCCUUCCUCGCAGGUGUUCCUGGGUUCAAGUCCCAGCGGCCCCACCA